GCAGUGGGUACGGGCAGACUAGAGUGCGGUAGGGGAGAACGGAAUUCCUGGUGUAGCGGUGGAAUGCGCAGAUAUCAGGAGGAACACCGAUGGCGAAGGCAGUUCUCUGGGCCGUUACUGACGCUGAGGAGCGAAAGCGUGGGGAGCGAACAGGAUUAGAUACCCUGGUAGUCCACGCCGUAAACGGUGGGUGCUAGCUGUGGGCCACAUUCCACGUGGUCCGUGACGAAGUUAACACAUUAAGCACCCCGCCUGGGGAGUACGGCCGCAAGGCUAAAACUCAAAGGAAUUGACGGGGGCCCGCACAAGCGGCGGAGCAUGCGGAUUAAUUCGAUGCAACGCGAAGAACCUUACCAAGGCUUGACAUAUAGAGGAAAAGUGCAGAAAUGUACUCCCCGUAAGGUCUCUAUACAGGUGGUGCAUGGUUGUCGUCAGCUCGUGUCGUGAGAUGUUGGGUUAAGUCCCGCAACGAGCGCAACCCUCGUCCUAUGUUGCCAGCACGUAAUGGUGGGAACUCAUGGGAUACUGCCGGGGGUCAACUCGGAGGAAGGUGGGGAUGACGUCAAAUCAUCAUGCCCCCUUAUGUCUUGGGCUUCACGCAUGCUACAAUGGUCGGUACAGAGGGCUGCAAUACCGUAAAGGUGGAGCGGAAUCCCAAAAACCGGUCUCAGUUCGGAUUGAAGGUCUGCAACUCGACCUCAUGAAGGUCGGAGUCGCCUAGUAAUCGUAGAUCAGCCACGCUACAGUGAAUUACGUUCCGGCCCUUGGUACACA
This 774-nucleotide ribosomal RNA is filed under the name uncultured bacterium. Its description in RNAcentral is "bacterial SSU rRNA". It matches the Rfam family "Bacterial small subunit ribosomal RNA", at positions 623 to 1389 of the family's 1533-position model. The record is from RNAcentral.